This 303-nucleotide ribosomal RNA is filed under the name uncultured bacterium. RNAcentral's name for it is "partial 16S ribosomal RNA". It matches the Rfam family "Bacterial small subunit ribosomal RNA", at positions 507 to 807 of the family's 1533-position model. The record is from RNAcentral.
AGCAGCAGCCGCGGGAAUACGUAGGUGGCAAGCGUUGUCCGGAAUUAUUGGGCGUAAAGCGCGCGCAGGUGGUUUAAUAAGUCUGAUGUGAAAGCCCCCGGCUCAACCGGGGAGGGUCAUUGGAAACUGGGAAACUUGAGUGCAGAAGAGGAGAGUGGAAUUCCACGUGUAGCGGUGAAAUGCGUAGAGAUGUGGAGGAACCCCAGUGGCGAAGGCGACUCUCUGGUCUGUAACUGACGCUGAGGAGCGAAGGCGUGGGGAGCGAACAGGAUUAGAUAUCCCCGUAGUCCCUGUCUCUUAUAC